UACCACAUCCAAGGAAGGCAGCAGGCGCGCAAAUUACCCACUCCCGGCACGGGGAGGUAGUGACGAAAAAUAACGAUACGGGACUCAUCCGAGGCCCCGUAAUCGGAAUGAGAACAAUUUAAAUCCUUUAACGAGGAUCAAUUGGAGGGCAAGUCUGGUGCCAGCAGCCGCGGUAAUUCCAGCUCCAAUAGCGUAUAUUAAAGUUGUUGCGGUUAAAAAGCUCGUAGUCGAAUCUGUGUCCCGCGCCGCCGGUUCGUCGCUCGCGGCGUUUAACUGGCGUGUCCGCGGGACGUCCUGCCGGUGGGCUUAGCUCCUCCUUUGGGGCGGCCCAAUCAUAAUCCCGCCGCGGUGCUCUUCACCGAGUGUCGAGGCGGGCCGGCACGUUUACUUUGAACAAAUUAGAGUGCUUAAAGCAGGCUAAAACUUUGCCUGAAUACUUCGUGCAUGGAAUAAUGGAAUAGGACCUCGGUUCUAUUUUGUUGGUUUUCGGAACCCCGAGGUAAUGAUUAAUAGGAACGGNAUGGGGGCAUUCGUAUUGCGACGUUAGNGNUGAAAUUCUUGGAUCGUCGCAAGACGGACAGAAGCGAAAGCAUUUGCCAAAAACGUUUUCAUUGAUCAAGAACGAAAGUUAGAGGUUCGAAGGCGAUCAGAUACCGCCCUAGUUCUAACCAUAAACGAUGCCAGCUAGCGAUCCGCCGAAGUUCCUCCGAUGACUCGGCGGGCAGCUUCCGGGAAACCAAAGCUUUUGGGUUCCGGGGGAAGUAUGGUUGCAAAGCUGAAACUUAAAGGAAUUGACGGAAGGGCACCACCAGGAGUGGAGCCUGCGGCUUAAUUUGACUCAACACGGGAAACCUCACCAGGCCCGGACACCGGAAGGAUUGACAGAUUGAGAGCUCUUUCUUGAUUCGGUGGGUGGUGGUGCAUGGCCGUUCUUAGUUGGUGGAGCGAUUUGUCUGGUUAAUUCCGAUAACGAACGAGACUCUGGCCUGCUAACUAGGCGUAUUUCCGACAUCUCGAAGGCCCGCCGGCCUGGUGCGCUCGCGCGCCGAGUCGUGCGCGGUUUUUACUGUCGGCGUACAAACAAUUCUUCUUAGAGGGACAGGCGGCUUCUAGCCGCACGAGAUAGAGCAAUAACAGGUCUGUGAUGCCCUUAGAUGUUCUGGGCCGCACGCGCGCUACACUGAAGGAAUCAGCGUGUCCUCCCUGGCCGAGCGGCCCGGGUAACCCGCUGAACCUCCUUCGUGCUAGGGAUUGGGGCUUGCAAUUGUUCCCCAUGAACGAGGAAUUCCCAGUAAGCGCGAGUCAUAAGCUCGCGUUGAUUACGUCCCUGCCCUUUGUACACACCGCCCGUCGCUACUACCGAUUGAAUGAUUUAGUGAGGUCUUCGGACCGGCACGCGGUGGCGUUUCGACGUCGCCGAUGCUGCUGGAAAGAUGACCAAACUUGAUCAUUUUAGAGGAAANUAAAAGUCGUA
Molecule: ribosomal RNA, 1474 nt
Filed under: Thonalmus hubbardi
Lineage: Eukaryota; Metazoa; Arthropoda; Insecta; Coleoptera; Lycidae
Description: SSU rRNA
Rfam family: Eukaryotic small subunit ribosomal RNA
Source: RNAcentral